RNAcentral lists this ribosomal RNA (450 nucleotides) under uncultured bacterium. RNAcentral describes it as "partial 16S ribosomal RNA". It matches the Rfam family "Bacterial small subunit ribosomal RNA", at positions 354 to 796 of the family's 1533-position model. The record is from RNAcentral.
GUGGGGAAUUUUGGACAAUGGGCGCAAGCCUGAUCCAGCAAUGCCGCGUGCAGGAAGAAGGCCUUCGGGUUGUAAACUGCUUUUGUACGGAACGAAACGGUCCUGGUUAAUACCCGGGGCUAAUGACGGUACCGUAAGAAUAAGCACCGGCUAACUACGUGCCAGCAGCCGCGGUAAUACGUAGGGUGCAAGCGUUAAUCGGAAUUACUGGGCGUAAAGCGUGCGCAGGCGGUGCUGUAAGACAGGCGUGAAAUCACCGGGCUUAACCUGGGAAUUGCGCUUGUGACUGCAGUGCUGGAGUGCGGCAGAGGGGGAUGGAAGUCCGCGUGUAGCAGUGAAAUGCGUAGAUAUGCGGAGGAACACCGAUGGCGAAGGCAAUCCCCUGGGCCUGCACUGACGCUCAUGCACGAAAGCGUGGGGAGCAAACAGGAUUAGAUACCCCGGUAGUCC